CCCGUGCUACAACCGCGCAGAUCAGGUUACAAGCCCUAGUGCGCCUGUGAUGGCGAGUCUGAGUUUAAGA
This is a regulatory RNA element of Terribacillus aidingensis, 70 nucleotides long. The record is from Rfam. NCBI's taxonomy places the organism in Bacteria, Bacillati, Bacillota, Bacilli, Caryophanales, Bacillaceae.